AGCGAACGCUGGCGGCAGGCUUAACACAUGCAAGUCGAGCGGGCACUUUCGGGUGUCAGCGGCGGACGGGUGAGUAACGCGUGGGAACGUGCCCUCUGGUUCGGAAUAACUCAGGGAAACUUGAGCUAAUACCGGAUACGCCCUUUUGGGGAAAGGCUUGCUGCCGGAGGAUCGGCCCGCGUCUGAUUAGCUAGUUGGUGAGGUAACGGCUCACCAAGGCGACGAUCAGUAGCUGGUCUGAGAGGAUGAUCAGCCACACUGGGACUGAGACACGGCCCAGAAUCCUACGGGAGGCAGCAGUGGGGAAUAUUGGACAAUGGGCGCAAGCCUGAUCCAGCCAUGCCGCGUGAGUGAUGAAGGCCUUAGGGUUGUAAAGCUCUUUUAUCCGGGACGAUAAUGACGGUACCGGAGGAAUAAGCCCCGGCUAACUUCGUG
RNAcentral lists this ribosomal RNA (435 nucleotides) under uncultured bacterium. RNAcentral describes it as "partial 16S ribosomal RNA". It matches the Rfam family "Bacterial small subunit ribosomal RNA", at positions 29 to 507 of the family's 1533-position model. The record is from RNAcentral.